UUAAGUUAGAAAGGGCGCACGGUGGAUGCCUUGACACUAGGAGUCGAUGAAGGACGGGACUAACGCCGAUAUGCUUCGGGGAGCUGUAAGUAAGCUUUGAUCCGAAGAUUUCCGAAUGGGGAAACCCACCAUACGUAAUGGUAUGGUAUCCUUAUCUGAAUACAUAGGGUAAGGAAGACAGACCCAGGGAACUGAAACAUCUAAGUACCUGGAGGAAGAGAAAGCAAAUGCGAUUUCCUGAGUAGCGGCGAGCGAAACGGAACAUAGCCCAAACCAAGAGGCUUGCCUCUUGGGGUUGUAGGACAUUCUAUACGGAGUUACAAAGGAACGAGGUAGACGAAGCGACCUGGAAAGGUCCGUCGUAGAGGGUAACAACCCCGUAGUCGAAACUUCGUUCUCUCUUGAAUGUAUCCUGAGUACGGCGGAACACGUGAAAUUCCGUCGGAAUCUGGGAGGACCAUCUCCCAAGGCUAAAUACUCCCUAGUGAUCGAUAGUGAACCAGUACCGUGAGGGAAAGGUGAAAAGCACCCCGGAAGGGGAGUGAAAGAGAUCCUGAAACCGUGUGCCUACAAAUAGUCAGAGCCCGUUAACGGGUGAUGGCGUGCCUUUUGUAGAAUGAACCGGCGAGUUACGAUCCCGUGCGAGGUUAAGCUGAAGAGGCGGAGCCGCAGCGAAAGCGAGUCUGAAUAGGGCGUUUAGUACGUGGUCGUAGACCCGAAACCAGGUGAUCUACCCAUGUCCAGGGUGAAGUUCAGGUAACACUGAAUGGAGGCCCGAACCCACGCACGUUGAAAAGUGCGGGGAUGAGGUGUGGGUAGCGGAGAAAUUCCAAUCGAACCUGGAGAUAGCUGGUUCUCCCCGAAAUAGCUUUAGGGCUAGCCUUAAGUGUAAGAGUCUUGGAGGUAGAGCACUGAUUGGACUAGGGGUCCUCAUCGGAUUACCGAAUUCAGUCAAACUCCGAAUGCCAAUGACUUAUCCUUAGGAGUCAGACUGCGAGUGAUAAGAUCCGUAGUCAAAAGGGAAACAGCCCAGACCGCCAGCUAAGGUCCCAAAGUGUGUAUUAAGUGGAAAAGGAUGUGGAGUUGCUUAGACAACUAGGAUGUUGGCUUAGAAGCAGCCACCAUUUAAAGAGUGCGUAAUAGCUCACUAGUCGAGUGACUCUGCGCCGAAAAUGUACCGGGGCUAAAUACACCACCGAAGCUGCGGAUUGAUACCAAUGGUAUCAGUGGUAGGGGAGCGUUCUAAGGACAGUGAAGUCAGACCGGAAGGACUGGUGGAGUGCUUAGAAGUGAGAAUGCCGGUAUGAGUAGCGAAAGACGGGUGAGAAUCCCGUCCACCGAAUGCCUAAGGUUUCCUGAGGAAGGCUCGUCCGCUCAGGGUUAGUCAGGACCUAAGCCCAGGCCGACAGGCGUAGGCGAUGGACAACAGGUUGAUAUUCCUGUACCACCUCUUUAUCGUUUGAGCAAUGGAGGGACGCAGAAGGAUAGAAGAAGCGUGCGAUUGGUUGUGCACGUCCAAGCAGUUAGGCUGAUAAGUAGGCAAAUCCGCUUAUCGUAAAGGCUGAGCUGUGAUGGGGAAGCUCCUUAUGGAGCGAAGUCUUUGAUUCCCCGCUGCCAAGAAAAGCUUCUAGCGAGAUAAAAGGUGCCUGUACCGCAAACCGACACAGGUAGGCGAGGAGAGAAUCCUAAGGUGUGCGAGAGAACUCUGGUUAAGGAACUCGGCAAAAUGACCCCGUAACUUCGGGAGAAGGGGUGCUUUCUUAACGGAAAGCCGCAGUGAAUAGGCCCAAGCGACUGUUUAGCAAAAACACAGCUCUCUGCGAAGCCGUAAGGCGAAGUAUAGGGGGUGACACCUGCCCGGUGCUGGAAGGUUAAGGAGAGGGGUUAGCGUAAGCGAAGCUCUGAACUGAAGCCCCAGUAAACGGCGGCCGUAACUAUAACGGUCCUAAGGUAGCGAAAUUCCUUGUCGGGUAAGUUCCGACCCGCACGAAAGGUGUAACGAUUUGGGCACUGUCUCAACCAGAGACUCGGUGAAAUUAUAGUACCUGUGAAGAUGCAGGUUACCCGCGACAGGACGGAAAGACCCCGUGGAGCUUUACUGUAGCCUGAUAUUGAAUUUUGGUACAGUUUGUACAGGAUAGGCGGGAGCCAUUGAAACCGGAGCGCUAGCUUCGGUGGAGGCGCUGGUGGGAUACCGCCCUGACUGUAUUGAAAUUCUAACCUACGGGUCUUAUCGACCCGGGAGACAGUGUCAGGUGGGCAGUUUGACUGGGGCGGUCGCCUCCUAAAGUGUAACGGAGGCGCCCAAAGGUUCCCUCAGAAUGGUUGGAAAUCAUUCGUAGAGUGCAAAGGCAUAAGGGAGCUUGACUGCGAGACCUACAAGUCGAGCAGGGACGAAAGUCGGGCUUAGUGAUCCGGUGGUUCCGCAUGGAAGGGCCAUCGCUCAACGGAUAAAAGCUACCCCGGGGAUAACAGGCUUAUCUCCCCCAAGAGUCCACAUCGACGGGGAGGUUUGGCACCUCGAUGUCGGCUCAUCGCAUCCUGGGGCUGUAGUCGGUCCCAAGGGUUGGGCUGUUCGCCCAUUAAAGCGGUACGCGAGCUGGGUUCAGAACGUCGUGAGACAGUUCGGUCCCUAUCCGUCGUGGGCGUAGGAAAUUUGAGAGGAGCUGUCCUUAGUACGAGAGGACCGGGAUGGACGCACCGCUGGUGUACCAGUUGUUCUGCCAAGGGCAUAGCUGGGUAGCUAUGUGCGGAAGGGAUAAGUGCUGAAAGCAUCUAAGCAUGAAGCCCCCCUCAAGAUGAGAUUUCCCAUAGCGUAAGCUAGUAAGAUCCCUGAAAGAUGAUCAGGUUGAUAGGUUCGAGGUGGAAGCAUGGUGACAUGUGGAGCUGACGAAUACUAAUAGAUCGAGGACUUAACCAU
Molecule: ribosomal RNA, 2920 nt
Filed under: Bacillus thuringiensis serovar tolworthi
Lineage: Bacteria; Bacillati; Bacillota; Bacilli; Caryophanales; Bacillaceae
Description: bacterial LSU rRNA
Rfam family: Bacterial large subunit ribosomal RNA
Source: RNAcentral